AACCUCAGUUCAUCACACAGCGUCUCUGUUUUCUCCCCAUUGCUUCCAAACACCGUCUGUUUUCCCGUUCGAAAACCUCAAUCUCUCACAAUUGUAUCUGCUAAGGGGUAUAAGAUGAAGACCCACAAGGUCCAAGUUGACCGUAGUGACUACAACAAUGUCAUAGGAGCCUUGCCCUAUCUGAAGAUCAACCGAGCCAAUUAGGUCGAACCACUUCAUAAAGAUCAAACCAUUUUGAUUCGGGUUGCAAGUUCUACGCAGAGUUGCUCAUCUUCUUGUUGUAUUUAUGGUUUAAAUUGCAGGUCUUUUUACUCCUCUUCCUUCUAUAUGUAAUUCAUAGCCAUUACAUGUAUAUUUUCACUGCCUUUGAUUGUUACAUUUACCUUAGUUUUAACAACAAAUUUUUCAACACCUUAGUUUCACAUUUACCUUGCAUUUGUAAGGAUUUGAACCCACAAUCUCGCAUUUGUAAGAGUGGACACCAUACCACUAGACCAAUAAGUCAUGGUUGUCGGCACAACUCCUAACUUGUAUAAAUGUUUAUUAUGAUUUCUCAUUGGUCUUAUGUAAAUCUUUAUCACUUAAAAUUAUAUUCUAGUAUUCAUUAAAAAGCCAAAACAACAAAUUACAAACAAACGGCUGGUAAACGGACAACAAAUAGGUGAUAAUUUUGUCACCAACAACAAAAAUUAAAAUAUAUAUCGUCUUAAAAUGACUUGAUAAUACUAAUAUCACCAAAAACAAAAAUUAAAACAUAUGGCAAUCAAUGUUUUUAAAAACCAGUUCAAACCGGCCGGUUGUACCGGUUAAACCGCCCGGUACAUCCGAUUGAACCAUCUGAUACACCCGGUUAAACCAAUCUCUGAGUCAUUCACCGUUUCAUGGCUUCUUGGCUCACAUACGUACGGGUUGACUUUGGGCAUACAUCCCAACUACACAUAUAUAUGUAAAUAAUCAUCUCCUUAAUUUGAUGUUUUGCACAUGCAAUUACUUGGCAUAUACUUUUUUUAUUCUAAUACUAGGUUAUAACUCCGUGUAUUACACGGGUCGAAUAAAUACAUUUUAUAUACUAAAUAAUAAAACAAUAUAUCUUUAAAAACCUCCUUUAUUGCACGAGUUGAAUAAAUAUAAUUUUAUAUAUUAAAUAAUAAAAAAUUUGACUUCUCUCAUUUCUAUUUGAUCCCAAAAUAAUGGCCUCCGUCGUGAAAGAGUUUGAACCUCUUAAAAUCCGUCUGGACGAGUUAAAAAAAGCCACCAAUAGUUUUGGUAGCAAAGUUAUUGGACGUGGUGGUUUUGGGCAUGUAUAUGAAGGAGAAGUCUCUCACUCUAAGGGGCGAGGCCUGGUUGCUAUCAAGCGUUUGAGUCGUGAAUAUGGGCAAGGAGACCCCGGGUUCUGGAAGGAGAUCAUGAUGCUUUCUCGGUACACACAUAAGAAUCUCAUCUCUCUCCUUGGGUUUUGUGAUGAAGAUGGUGAGAGAAUCCUUGUUUACGAGCAUGCAUCAAAUGGAAGCCUUGAUCGCCAUUUAAGUUCCACUACUCUCAUGUGGACGCAACGUCUCAGGAUAUGCCUUGAUGCUGCAAGGGGGCUAGCCUACCUUCAUGAUCCCAAGGGCUUCCAACAAAGAGUUCUCCAUAGAGAUAUAAAAAGUGGCAACAUCCUACUAGAUGACAAGUGGAAUGCUAAACUUUCUGACAUGGGACUUUCAAAAAUAGGACCUGCGAAUCAGCAACACACGAAUGUCUUCACCACCGUUGCAGGCACCCAUGGUUACUUGGAUCCCCAAUAUUUGGAGACGUGCUCCCUAACCAAAGAAUCAGACAUAUACUCUUUUGGUGUCGUCUUAGUCUUAUUCGAAGUCCUGUGUGGGAGAUUAUGUACUGAAAAAGCUAACGGUCUGUUAAAGUGUUUCGUGCAUAUGUGGAAAGAAAGCUACAAAUGUAAGAAGUUAGACCGGAUUAUCUUUAAAGAUCUCAUGCCACCAAUGGACCCAACUUCGUUGGAAACAUUUUCAGACAUUGCAUUCCAGUGUUUGCACUACUCUUGUGAACAACGGCCAACAACGUCUCGUAUAGUGAAAAAGCUUGAGAUUGCACUUCGUUUCAGGAGCGUCACGACAUGAAACUGACUAAUGUUGUGGGAACUUUUUAGAAAUAUCGAUACGUGGAUGAACUGAGCGUACUUCUAUCAAAAGGCAAAGGGAUCUUUCUUAACAUGGGCACAACAGUAAUUCGCUGCUGCUGCUUCUUUUUUUAAUUGCAAUGGUGAACUGAUUUUUUUUAUAGACUGUUAGCUUAUUUGUAGAAUUUAACAUGAUUAAAACAAAUAAUGAUUGCAAAGUAUAUACAAAUUCCAACUGCAUUGUUUGCAAUGCUUUUUAAAAAACAAAGCAUUUAGUAAUAAAUAAUGGUUGCUUUGAAGUUCUACGGUUGGUUGAUUUGCUUCAUACUUUUUUGUUGCUUGUUCUAGAAAAGGGAAGGAACUAAACGAAAAGAAGACAAAGCAAGAAAGGCAGGAGGGAAACUUGUACAUUUUGAUGGUUCAAACGUUUUUACAGCUGAUGAUCUUCUGAGAGCAUCAGUUGAGAUGACAAGCAAAAGUACUUACGGGUUUAACUAUAAGGCAACAUUGGAGAAUGGUGAUGAAGUUUCAGUUCAAACAUGGAGUGAAUAUAUUACUAAAGAUGGAGAAUAUGAAGUUGAAUUAAAUUUGCUUGGAAAAAUAAGGCAUCCCAAUGUUUUCGCAAUUAGGGCUUAUUAUUUGGCCUCAGAACAAGAAGAAUAUAACCAUCUCGUUUUUUAUUACAUGCCCGAAAAAAGCCAGCUUUCUGUAUUUCUCCAUCAUUGGGCAACAAGAAUGCAAAUAGCAAAAGGAGUGGCUAGAGGUUUGCAUAACCUCCAUACUCAUCACAAGCUAAUCCAUGGAAAUCUAACAUCACACUAUGUUUUGCUCGAUGAAAACAAUAACCACAAGAUUUCUGACUUCGGGAUGUCACGACUCAUGCAUGCUCAUGUAAACUCA
Molecule: RNA transcript, 3019 nt
Organism: Helianthus annuus (common sunflower)
Lineage: Eukaryota; Viridiplantae; Streptophyta; Magnoliopsida; Asterales; Asteraceae
Gene name: 50S ribosomal protein L35, chloroplastic
Exons: 3
Source: RefSeq, a predicted model, not a curated record